RNAcentral lists this unclassified non-coding RNA (980 nucleotides) under Hevea brasiliensis (rubber tree). Lineage: Eukaryota; Viridiplantae; Streptophyta; Magnoliopsida; Malpighiales; Euphorbiaceae. The record is from RNAcentral.
AUUUAAAGGUAUGAAUACCUUUAUACAUAAUGCCCCAUUUUUUUUUUCUGAAAAAAUAAAAAGGUUUAUCAUCAUUUUCACCAAACUGAUUUAAAUGAUUGUAAAGGUAUAACCCUUUACACAAAAAGCCCUAUUAUAACCACUAUCACCAAUACAGUCAAAGUCCUAAAGUUUUUUCAACUUUAUAUACAGUAAAGCGAAAAAAAAUUCAUAACUAACUAGAGGAAAGUUACUGAGUAGUUAUUUGCAUGACAAGCAUAGGUCAGCUACCAAAACUAUUUUGCUCAUACUCUUCAAAAAUAUCAACGGGACGUCGAAUACUCCGAAACUAGUACAGUUUAACAUGGUGUGACAAUAAUUUUUGGAGAGUCCGAACAACAUAGUCAAAAGUAGGUCCUUUAUAUUCAAUUAAACAACAAACAUUUGAACAAAAGAAUAUGAACAAAUCCAUUUGUAAGGACUGACUAAAACCCCCUAAAUUCAUAAACAAAUAAUUAAAUUUCAUAAAAGCAAUACCAAAAGUUACCUCUUAGCUUAUUCAAGAACAUAUAUAGAUCUAGAAAAUAACACAUACCAUAGAGAAGCACACACAACGUGAACAAAAAAAAAUGAAACCAGCGGCGACAAUAUACACGUAAAAACAACAUUUUGACCUUACUUAUAUAGUAUGAUAUUCCGGCAUCAGGAUCCAUGGAUGUAAGAUUUUCAUCAUCUACUAUAUACACGUAAACUUAUUUUGACCUUAUAUAUAAGGUGUACUAUUCCGGUGAAGGGGUCCCCCUCAUGAUUUUCAUGUACAAAACACAAAAUCAGCUACGGAGGCAGGAUUUUCAUAGAGGAGAUUCAUCAUCUACUAUAUACACGUAAACUUAUUUUGACCUUAUAUAUAAGGUGUACUAUUCCGGUGAAGGGGUCCCCCUCAUGAUUUUCAUGUACAAAACACAAAAUCAGCUACGGAGGCAGGAUUUUCAUAGAGGAGA